UUCUCCCUUUCUUUUUCUCUUCUCUCUCCCGUCUCACGGUCUCGGUUCUUGCAGUCAACCGGGGCCAUUUCUCCGUCGUUGUGCUUCCGCUUCGGUUCUCGCCAUCGCCUGGCCAUCUCCCAUCUCGCCUUCGCUGUGCUUCUGCUUCAGUUCUCACCGUCGGCAAGGGAGACCGUACUACUCCUAAAACCUUUUCCCGUGUAGUGUAGUACCUAAAACCUUUUCCCGGAACCGUACUACUCCUCUUCCUCUCUUUCUCCUCCUUCCCUUCGUUUUGGCUCCGAUUGUCGGGAACUAGGGCUAGGGUUUCGCUUUCAAUAUCGAUUUGGAGGGGUUUUGAGCAGACCUUGAGCUAUUAGGCUGGGGGUCUGGAUUGAAGCGUUUUUGCAGGUGAUGAUGAGUUUGUGAGAGUGUGGAGGUACUGGACAAAUGCAUCAAGCUUUGGAACAGAGGUGCAUGGACCUGGUGCAGAUAUAGAUACAUUGUGUGUGGGACCUAAACAUGCAACUAGAGAGCUCUGAACCUAUGUUCUGUUAAUGCAUAAGAAGAAUUUUUUGUGGAACUUCAUAAUAUGUUAGCAGAGAUGACAGAAGUAUCAGAACUGCAUCCUGUGCUUGAUGCUCACGUACCUGUUAUGGGGUUCAAGUGUAAUGGUGUCUCCAUAGAUCUUCUUUAUGCAAGGCUUUCACUUCGGGUCAUUUCUGAAGUUGCACAGUUUCUUGGUGGCAUUAACUGGCCAUUGCUUGUUGCUCGUAUAUGCCAGUUAUACCCAAAUGCAUUGACAAGUAUGUUGGUAUCUCUCUUUUUCAGGGUUUUUACCCUGUGGCAACAGAUGCUCAUCAAAUGCAGAAGCAACAGAUGCUCGAAAGUGGACAAUGGGAGCAAUUCUUAUUGACAUUAGAACCUUCAGUGUUGUAUAGGUUGUCAAGAUAUCAAGAGAAACAAAGAGAUGCAGUCGGGUUCGAGCCUAGAAACACUUCUAAAUGAACAAGGAACAGAAUUAACAGCAACAACAGUCUUGUAUAUAUGAAAACUAUAUUUUGUAAUCAGAAUUGUGAUUGACAAUUAUGUGAAUUGUAAAUAUGAAAUAUAUGAAUUGUAAUUGGCAGUUA
Long non-coding RNA from Dioscorea cayenensis subsp. rotundata (Guinea yam), 1112 nucleotides. RefSeq lists it as uncharacterized. The transcript is spliced from 6 exons. Lineage: Eukaryota; Viridiplantae; Streptophyta; Magnoliopsida; Dioscoreales; Dioscoreaceae. The record is from RefSeq and is a predicted model, not a curated record.